GUCAUUUGAUAACAUUUGUGUGAACAAGUAUAAAUGAUAAACAGCCCAAUCAUGAAAAAUCGUAUUGCGUCGCAUACAACAAAUUAUCUUUCCAUCAAUAUCAAAAUUGCUUCACUGAUUUGUAAACAUUUCUUGUAAACAAAUAUAAAUGGUGAACAACCCAAUUAUGUAACGUCUGUUUGGGCCAUACAGUACACAUUAGGUAAAGAUGAUUAACGUGAAAAUUAAAAUAUCAUAACACUAACAAAUUAAAAAACAGAUUGAAUAAUUGUUGGUUGCUUCACAUGUCAAUAGCACAAAAAUGCUAUAUGGCGGCGAUUUUAAAAAGACAAAACACAUGGAGCUUAAUUGCAUCAAAUUUUCGAUUAACAAAAAAAAAAGAAGAAAAAAAAACGACGAGAUUGCUUAAGGUGGUAUGGGAGACUAAAAUAAAAAUGUUAGAAUUUGUUGAUACUUUGCCAAAUUGUUGUAUCUAUUGAUACAUGUUGAAAAAUAUAAUAAAAAUGAUAGGUCACUGCGCAUUUUCACAAGCUACAGGACGGGACCAAAUGACACAUUUUGUACGGAUUAUACAGGAAAAAACACCAUUUUGUGAUUAGAAACUAAACAAAAUAAUAGAAUUGUUAAAUACUUCAGGAAUAGAUAGCUUUCAGACACUGCUUUGAGAAUACCAAAAGAAAAGAUAGGGUCACCGUAAGUUUUUUCCGGCUAAAAUACAAAAUAGGAAAAUUCCAUACAGAAUCUCUCAGAAAAUGCACUUUUUAGAGUUACCUCCUCUUAAAAUGCUAAUUUAAAAAAAAAAAAAUAAAAAC
RNAcentral lists this long non-coding RNA (812 nucleotides) under Mytilus galloprovincialis (Mediterranean mussel). Lineage: Eukaryota; Metazoa; Mollusca; Bivalvia; Mytilida; Mytilidae. The record is from RNAcentral.